ACGAAGAGAGUGAAGAAGAUGAAUUUGAGAUGGAUGGAAGCGGUGUUGCCACUGGGAAUCAUUGCAGGGAUGAUCUGUGUUAUGGGAAACGCUCAGUAUUUCAUUCACAAAGCCGCUCAUGGCAGACCUAAGCAUAUCGGCAACGAUAUGUGGGAUGUGGCAAUGGAACGAAGGGAUAAGAAGCUUCUCGAUCAAGCCUCUUCCUCCAAUUAGCAUGGAUGCAUACAGGACGGAGUUGUAAUUGUUAAUUGAAAGAUUUAUGGUUGGAAGUUUGAUGAUUCUGUAGUUUGUUGUAUAGAGUGAACUCUUAUUUUAAUUGUUGGAAUUGUUGUUUUGUUCAUUGUCAUUGUGAAGAAAAUAAGUUGCUCAACCAGAUUUCCAGUGUUCUAAGGAAGCAGAAUGAAUCAUUAGAAUCAAUUUCUCUGUUUUCUUGUAUGCAAUUCAACGUAAGCUUGAUAAAUAUACCUAUGUUUUUAUCACAGUUGCUUUCCCGAUGCUUCAUAUGUUGAAACUUGAAAUAGGGUUGUGAAAGCUUUAUAGUGCUUUGGGAUAUUUGUUGCCAAAUCUUUAAACAUUUUGUGUAUGACUACAAAUUUUGCAAAUUGACAUCAAUGCAUGAUGAAUAAUUACGAAAAGCAGCCAAUAUUCCCAAUCCAUACCGCCACAAAAUAUGAAGAGGAAAUUGCAACGACAAGAUGUUUUGCACACUAAACGCUGUGAAGCAGCUUUUUGUUGGCCAUCGGAACCCCUCUUUCGCCAGUGACGUUACUGUAACGUGGUAUCUUUACUCGAGAAUAAGUUCUUAUUGAGCCCAAGAAGGGCUGAGGCGUCGAACAAUUUCCGUA
RNA transcript from Abrus precatorius (Indian licorice), 845 nucleotides. It is a transcript of the gene named NADH dehydrogenase [ubiquinone] 1 alpha subcomplex subunit 1, with no coding region annotated. The transcript has 4 exons. Lineage: Eukaryota; Viridiplantae; Streptophyta; Magnoliopsida; Fabales; Fabaceae. The record is from RefSeq and is a predicted model, not a curated record.